Molecule: ribosomal RNA, 361 nt
Filed under: uncultured rumen bacterium
Lineage: Bacteria
Description: partial 16S ribosomal RNA
Source: RNAcentral
UAUUCCCCACUGCUGCCUCCCGUAGGAGUCUGGGCCGUGUCUCAGUCCCAAUGUGGCCGUUCAACCUCUCAGUCCGGCUACCGAUCGUCGACUUGGUGGGCCGUUACCUCACCAACUAUCUAAUCGGACGCGAGUCCAUCUCAGACCACCGGAGUUUUUCACACCGCUCCAUGCGGAGCUGUGCGCUUAUGCGGUAUUACCAGCCGUUUCCAGCUGCUAUCCCCCGGUCUGAGGCAGGUUCCCCACGCGUUACUCACCCGUCCGCCACUAUGCUGCUGCUGAUUCUGCCGAAGCUUCCUCUGCAGCAGCACCGUCCGACUUGCAUGUGUUAGGCACGCCGCCAGCGUUCAUCCUGAGCCAA